Molecule: ribosomal RNA, 520 nt
Filed under: uncultured archaeon
Lineage: Archaea
Description: bacterial SSU rRNA
Rfam family: Archaeal small subunit ribosomal RNA
Source: RNAcentral
CCCACCAAAAACCAAAAAUGUGGAUGGGUUACCCAGAGUGCUCCAAAAGGAGCUGUGGUAGGUGAGUAAUGUCCCUUUUAGGAAGGAGAGGGCAAGGCUGGUGCCAGCCGCCGCCUUUUAACCAGCUCUUCAAGUGGUCGGGAUAAUUAUUGGGCUUAAAGUGUCCGUAGCCGGUUUAGUAAGUUCCUGGUAAAAUCGGGUAGCUUAACUAUCCGUAUGCUAGGAAUACUGCUAUACUAGAGGGCGGGAGAGGUCUGAGGUACUACGGGGGUAGGGGUGAAAUCUUAUAAUCCUCGUAGGACCACCAGUGGCGAAGGCGUCAGACUGGAACGCGCCUGACGGUGAGGGACGAAAGCCAGGGGAGCGAACCGGAUUAGAUACCCGGGUAGUCCUGGCCGUAAACGAUGCAUACUAGGUGAUGGUACGGCCAUGAGCCGUAUCAGUGCCGUAGGGAAACCGUUAAGUGUGCCGCCUGGGAAGUACGGUCGCAAGGCUAAAACUUAAAGGAAUUGGCGGGGGA